GGGUAUGAAAAAUCUUUUGAGUGACUUAAACUACCCGGAAGCCCCUGAGGUGGAACCCGUCUUUAUUUUCAAAUUCAGCUUCUACAGAAUAACCUGCUGCUUCAAAGGGGGUGAGAGCUGUAGGAACCUUGAUCUGCAGAAGGAGCCGGUAGCUGAUUUUUUCCUAAACACCAUAACUGAACUAAAUAACUGAACCCUAAACUAAGGGUUUAGGUUGAUCAUCUCAGCUCAAUUUCCAGUACUUCUGGGUUUUUUAAACUGUGGCAAUGCUUCGAAUUGUUUAAAGUCAGGGAGGGGAAUGAUGAUGGAGAUUUGAAAUAUAUCCUGCUUGAAAUGGUGUUUAUUUGUGAGGUUUAGUGCCCAGGUUGUUUCCGGAUCUCAGCUGUUCCUUGCUUGUGUAUCACGUAGCCUCCUGUCACCCCGGAGGAGGUGGUUAAAAUGUAGAACUCGAGUCCUGGCUGGGUUUUUUGCCCUCCCUACUCCUGUAAUCCUGAGCCCUACCUUUUAUCUUUGACACCUGAACUUGCAUGCCACGCUCUCUCUGUGCAAAGCACUCCUUCCUGGGAUUCAAACCCGUUCCCAGUGGCUGUUUCAGGUUUCCUGGGUAAGAUCACAUCAGCCCUAAUGCAGUUCCCCAGCUGGGGCACUCACAGGGCUUCACCUCCAAAAUCAUCGCACCAGGGGGCUUUGAAGCAUAUCCGAGUUUGAAUGCAGCCCAACUGGGGUACCUCAGUGUGGGUUUAGGGGGCUUUCCCACUUGGUUCCCCCUGUUAACCGGCACAGCUCCAGUAUGGUUGCCUGGUCUCUGGGGCUGGCACCGAUCUCUGAUUUCCCCUGGAGCUUCAACCCCUGCCCAGGACAGCAGCACUGCACUUGCUGAAACACUCCGGAUGCUUUGGGCUUCAGCUGACCUGACACACUUGUAGCUGAACAGAUGCUCCUCAUGAUCAACAGCAGCGCUUUGUCCCUCUCCAGCAGCCCCUGAAAGCUUGACCCUCUCUGCUCCGAAGCCAUCCGAGAAGUUGUACAUAGCCCAGAUUCUCCAGCUUGUCCCAACAGCAGGUUAAUGUGUCUCCAUCCUAUGCACGCGAUGACCGAAGCUCCAAAAUGCUGCUUUGCAAGAUUGCAAUAUCAAAGCUUCCCAUAAAAUCCACAGCUUCUUAUUCCCAGCAUUCCCAGGGAGCUGAAUCUCCCGGUUUAUCCCACUGCAAGCGCGUUGCACAGUGUGCUUUGCUCCGAGAGCUUUGCUGUCCUCUCCAGGCUAUGUCAGGGCCGGCGAGCGCUCGGCUGCGUCUGGUGAACGUGGACAUCGGCCUGAUUGCCGCUGACAGCAGAUUCCCCUGAGUUUGUGCUGUUCCUUCUUUCUUCAUCCCUUCGUGGUGCUCGUCAUUCAGUGAAAUAUCCCAAAUCAGAGAUGCGGCCGUGUUGCAUGGAAGAAGCUCUCUCAGGCCGACGCAAGCUGCCCUCACGCUGGGUCGGUAGCACUUGUUGGUUUAAAGUGUAAAAAAUCCAACAGCAGCAAAAAGCCACGUUUUAUUGUACAUUGAUCUGUGCUCCUGAGUGCUCUGCCCUUCCUUGGAGCUUAGACCUGAGUUCUGCUGCGGAAGGUUUAGGUACAAGCUGGACCUAGGGGGGGCAGUGAGCUCAGGGCUGCAGCGGGUGGCUCCAGCGAAAAUCCAACAGUGCUGCCGAGUCAUUCUGGCAAGGGGAGGGAAAACCCUUUGGAAAGGGCUGGGAAGACCAUAAGAAGAGCUGGGCAAGAAGGAGUAAUGCCCACCCUUCCAGGGCGGCAAUGCUGCAGCUCCGGAGGGGCUGAGGACCCCAAAAAAGACAGCAGCAGGGACUGGGCAGCCCUGGCGGCACUGAGAAACCAGAGUGCAGAGUGGGAGUCAUCCUGAGGUUCAUCUUGAGCAGCAGAAUGUCAAAUUGAAUGUGAAACUUAACUCCUGUCCCAAUGUACCACUUCCAUAACUGGAUUGGGAGUUGUUUUCGCCCGAGGCAUUUUUUGCCUGUCAUGAAGGGCUGGUGGGUCCCUGUGCUGGGGGACUCAGUGCACGCACCAACGCUGCCGCCGCUUCCAGUGCUUUCCCUUGAUGAACUCGUGGUCCUGUUGCAAUGCCAUCCUCUUCCGAGCAGGAGAGGAAGAAGCUUUCGUGUCCAUCAGACCUGCAGGUAGCGGGUGCACAUGGCUGUUAGCAUGAGGUAGCGCCUGGCCAUAGCUGACAACUCGCCCGCAGCUCUUGGUAGACUCGUCCAUGGUAGUCCAGUGUCGGUUUUGUAUCAUUUAAUUUUUAGCACUUUAACUGUGAGUGUACAAACUGAUUAUAAUGUAGUAGGUGUACAUUUUCAUUUGGGUCCUUUGCAAGUUUUUAAUAAAACGAUGGAAAAA
RNAcentral lists this long non-coding RNA (2389 nucleotides) under Strigops habroptila (Kakapo). RNAcentral describes it as "lncRNA (ENSSHBG00005000474.1)". The record is from RNAcentral. Lineage: Eukaryota; Metazoa; Chordata; Aves; Psittaciformes; Psittacidae.